RNA transcript from Jatropha curcas, 1675 nucleotides. It is a transcript of the gene named RING/U-box superfamily protein, with no coding region annotated. The record is from RefSeq and is a predicted model, not a curated record. Lineage: Eukaryota; Viridiplantae; Streptophyta; Magnoliopsida; Malpighiales; Euphorbiaceae.
CUGCAAACAAAUCCUAACAGCAUCUUCAUGGAAAGUGAAAAUAGAAACAAAUAAAGAAAGGAUUGCUUUAUGCAACCCAGAAAAGCCAUUCUUUUCUUUCUGCAUUCGCACAUGUUUAUAAAUGACCUCCAAUUUGGUUUCUUCUUCCCAAGAUACAAUCUUUUUCCAAAACAAGCAUAAACCCAUAAACCAAAAACAAUUAAAAAGAAAAAAGAAAAGAAACCCAUUUGGUUUCAAGAUCCCACCAGGAAAAAUCAUGUCUUUGAGCCCACCAAGAACAAGAAUUCAUGAAACAACAAGAACCUACCAGCCCUACUGGUGCUACCAAUGUCACAGAAUGGUAAGAAUUGUUGCCUCAAACCCAUCAGAAAUAAUUUGUCCUAGAUGUUCAGGGCAGUUCCUUUGUGAAAUUGAAAUGAACAGACCAAGACUGGUUGUUGAUUUCACUGCUUUUGAUCCUUCCCCAGAAGCUCGCUUACUUGAAGCUCUAUCUCUCAUGCCUGACCCACCAGUAAUUAGAAGACCAAGUUCACGUCUUCUUGAUAAUCUUGAACCAGAAUCUCGUGGCAGGUCUUGGUUACGAAGAAGAAAUAGAUUGAACUCUGAUGAUGAAGUACGUCCACGUAGAGGUCAAGAGGAACCUGGAAUCCAAUCUAGACCAAGAACGUGGAUUGUUCUUAGACCAAUUGAUCCUUUCACUCCUAUUGAAUCCAAUAACCCAAUUCCUCCAAGAGUUAAUCCAAGAGACUACUUUUUUGGUCCAGGACUAAAUGAAUUGAUUGAAGAAUUGACCCAAAAUGACCGGCCAGUGCCGCCUCCAGCGCCUGAGGCAGUUAUAGGGAAAAUACCAACAGUGAAAAUUAUGGAAAGUCAUUUGCUCCAUGACUCAACUUGUCCAGUAUGCAAAGAAGAGUUCAAGAUCGGAGGGGAGGCAAAGGAAUUGCCUUGUAAACAUAUAUACCAUGCUGAGUGUAUUGAGCCUUGGUUAAGGUUGCAUAACUCUUGCCCUGUUUGCAGAAAAGAGUUACCAGCUGUUACUGAAAAUAGCAGUCGUGAAGGUUGUGAUGGUCAUGUUAGCGAGGAUGGAGAUGGUAGGGACGGAAGGUGCCUGAGGUUGAGGAGGCAAUUGGCUAAUUUAUGGCCGUUUCGUCCAAGAUAUGGGAGAAUUAGUCCUCAUGGAGAAGCUCACGAAGGAAUCUAAGGGUUUAAACUAGUUAUGGAAGGGAACUGUGGAAAAGAUAUCAUGUAUAGCUGAUGCAUUACUGGACUGAGAUGGCUUCGUAGGUUACAACAGUAUUUUAUGCAUUGAAUAAUUGUGCAUCAGAGAAAUUACCUCAACAAAGUGAUUUCUUGAUUCUUAGUCAUAGUGCUGUCAUCUCUAUGUACUAUACAAAACUACUCUUUUACCAUAAAGAUAUUGAUGAAAAUAGUGUUCAAAUAUUGCAAUUAUUUAAUCAAACACAACUGUUUAUUGCAUAACACCAGAUAUAUUCAAUUGUACCAUCACGUUCACAAGUUUCCACCAAAUGGAUUUGGUAAUCUUUCUAUUUUAAUUUUUUUUAUAACACAAAAGUCCACUCUCUUUCCUAAUAAUUUGACAGGUUCUAUUGCCACAAAUGUUGAACAAGGUUGAGCCUAGACAAUUGUAUCAAACCAUCAACAAGAUUAAACAAAA